RNAcentral lists this ribosomal RNA (492 nucleotides) under uncultured bacterium. RNAcentral describes it as "partial 16S ribosomal RNA". It matches the Rfam family "Bacterial small subunit ribosomal RNA", at positions 29 to 507 of the family's 1533-position model. The record is from RNAcentral.
AGUGAACGCUGGCGGUAGGCCUAACACAUGCAAGUCGAACGGCAGCACAGUAAGAGCUUGCUCUUACGGGUGGCGAGUGGCGGACGGGUGAGGAAUACAUCGGAAUCUACUUUUUCGUGGGGGAUAACGUAGGGAAACUUACGCUAAUACCGCAUACGACCUACGGGUGAAAGCAGGGGAUCUUCGGACCUUGCGCGAUUGAAUGAGCCGAUGCCGGAUUAGCUAGUUGGCGGGGUAAAGGCCCACCAAGGCGACGAUCCGUAGCUGGUCUGAGAGGAUGAUCAGCCACACUGGAACUGAGAAACGGUCCAGACACCUACGGGAGGCAGCAGUGGGGAAUCUUAGACAAUGGGCGCAAGCCUGAUCCAGCCAUACCGCGUGAGUGAAGAAGGCCUUCGGGUUGUAAAGCCCUUUUGUUGGGAAAGAAAAGCAGCAGGUUAAUACCCCGCUGUUCUGACGGUACCCAAAGAAUAAGCACCGGCUAACUUCGUG